This 494-nucleotide ribosomal RNA is filed under the name uncultured bacterium. RNAcentral's name for it is "partial 16S ribosomal RNA". It matches the Rfam family "Bacterial small subunit ribosomal RNA", at positions 28 to 507 of the family's 1533-position model. The record is from RNAcentral.
GACGAACGCUGGCGGCGCGCUUAACACAUGCAAGUCGAACGGAAAGGCCUGCUUUCCCUUGUGGAUUGCGGGUACUCGAGUGGCGAACGGGUGAGUAACACGUGAGUGAUCUGCCCCCAACUUGGGUAUAAGCCUGGGAAACUGGGUCUAAUUCCCGAUAGGACUGCAGGGUGGUGCCUGUGGUGGAAAACGAUUUUCUAGUGGUUGGGGAUGAGCUCGCGGCCUAUCAGCUUGUUGGUGGGGUAAUGGCCUACCAAGGCGGCGACGGGUAGCCGGCCUGGGAGGGUGGACGGCAGAGUUGGGACUGAGAUACGGCCCAGACUCCUACGGGAGGCAGCAGUGGGGAAUAUUGCACAAUGGGCGGAAGCCUGAGGCAGCGACGCCGCGUGAGGGAUGACGGCUUUCGGGUUGUAAACUCCUUGCGACCGCGAGGAAGCCACCUGGUUGGAAGGGUAGUGACGGUAGUGGUAGAAGAAGCACCGGCUAACUACGUG